UGAACGCUGGCGGCGUGCCUAAUACAUGCAAGUCGAGCGAACAGACGAGGAGCUUGCUCCUCUGACGUUAGCGGCGGACGGGUGAGUAACACGUGGAUAACCUACCUAUAAGACUGGGAUAACUUCGGGAAACCGGAGCUAAUACCGGAUAAUAUAUUGAACCGCAUGGUUCAAUAGUGAAAGACGGUUUUGCUGUCACUUAUAGAUGGAUCCGCGCCGCAUUAGCUAGUUGGUAAGGUAACGGCUUACCAAGGCAACGAUGCGUAGCCGACCUGAGAGGGUGAUCGGCCACACUGGAACUGAGAAACGGUCCAGACUCCUACGGGAGGCAGCAGUAGGGAAUCUUCCGCAAUGGGCGAAAGCCUGACGGAGCAACGCCGCGUGAGUGAUGAAGGUCUUCGGAUCGUAAAACUCUGUUAUUAGGGAAGAACAAAUGUGUAAGUAACUAUGCACGUCUUGACGGUACCUAAUCAGAAAGCCACGGCUAACUACGUG
Molecule: ribosomal RNA, 495 nt
Filed under: uncultured bacterium
Lineage: Bacteria
Description: partial 16S ribosomal RNA
Rfam family: Bacterial small subunit ribosomal RNA
Source: RNAcentral